This 524-nucleotide ribosomal RNA is filed under the name uncultured bacterium. RNAcentral describes it as "partial 16S ribosomal RNA". It matches the Rfam family "Bacterial small subunit ribosomal RNA", at positions 28 to 523 of the family's 1533-position model. The record is from RNAcentral.
GACGAACGCUGGCGGCGUGCUUAACACAUGCAAGUCGAACGAGACGAUUGAAAGCUUGCUUAUGAAAAUCGAGUGGCAAACGGGUGAGUAACGCGUAGACAACCUGCCUUUGAGAUGGGGACAACAGUUCGAAAGGACUGCUAAUACCGAAUGUUGUAUAUUUUCCACAUGGAAGAUAUAUUAAAGAUGGCCUCUAUUUAUAAGCUAUCGCUCAAAGAUGGGUCUGCGUCUGAUUAGCUGGUUGGUGGGGUAACGGCCUACCAAGGCGACGAUCAGUAGCCGGUCUGAGAGGAUGAACGGCCACAUUGGGACUGAGACACGGCCCAGACUCCUACGGGAGGCAGCAGUGGGGAAUCUUCCACAAUGGACGAAAGUCUGAUGGAGCAACGCCGCGUGAGUGAAGAAGGGUUUCGGCUCGUAAAGCUCUGUUGUCGGGGACGAAUGUGCAGUAUUUGAAUAAGGAUAGGUAAUGACGGUAUUAAACGAGAAAGCCACGGCUAACUACGUGCCAGCAGCCGCCGUAA